AAAAACACAACCUUUCACGGACCAUUUAGUAUCCAAACUCAGCGACGGGUAAGAAGAUGCGAGUGUAAGUGAAGACACAGAGAGAGACGAGGUAAGACCACUUUUACAGAGAUACUUCUUGUGUACCUGUAUUUGUUAUUUAAUCGUGGAAUUGUUCUUAUUGCUGCAGAUCAUGGAGGGAGGUUGGAAGAAACUGCUUGUUUUUGGGACAGUUUUUCUCCUUGUGGAGGUCACCCACCAAGAAGGCUACACCCGUAAGUACAUCCUUGUCAAUAAUUUGAAGAGCUGGAUAAAAAGCCAGAGCUACUGUAGAGCGGAGUACGGGGACCUGGCCACCAUAAAUGAUGACAGGGUCAUCCGC
Long non-coding RNA from Cottoperca gobio, 361 nucleotides. RefSeq lists it as uncharacterized. The transcript is spliced from 3 exons. NCBI's taxonomy places the organism in Eukaryota, Metazoa, Chordata, Actinopteri, Perciformes, Bovichtidae. The record is from RefSeq and is a predicted model, not a curated record.